UUUUAAAUAAAUCUAAUGUUCUCUUUAAAUAAUACUUCUUGCAGCAUCAUCAAAACAAUUCUUCAGGUUUUACCAAUGCUCCUUAUUGGUAACAAUCUCCCCCUUUUUUAUGAUGAUCAAAAAAUCACUUUUAAAAGCAACUCUGGCUUACCUGCAAUACGUACGAGCUAACAGAAAACAAAGUUAGCAGUACCUGUAUCAAUUAUUAAUUUGUAUUAUACUUCUCCCCUUACAUUAUUCUUCUCCCCUUAUAUUAUUCUUCUCCCCAUUUUGAUCAUAAGCAAAAAGAUUAAAUUAAAAAUCUUCCCCUAAAUAUGAUCUCCCCCUAAAUACGAUCUCCCCCUCAACUAAACAAUGUAUGCAUAAAACAAGAGAUCUUGUUAUUCAUAAAAGAAAGGAUUACAUAGACACCAUAAGGAGAAACAUAAAAGACAGAAAUAUAACAUAGAGAUAAGAAUAACAACCAAUCAACAAAGCACUCAAAAAAAUCUUAAUUCUAAAAUUCAGGACUUGGGAUCUCUCGGGUGAUUAAAGGUUUAGAUGAUUUUCAGUAUUUCCUAGAUGAACAUCAAUGUCAAGAAUUUGAUCAACCAUAUAACUUUUCAUGAGCUUGCUGCCAUUCAUAAAUUUGAUCAAAGUGAGGUUUCAGGGCAAGACUUAUAUCUUCCAGUUAUCACAAAAGUUCUCAAUUAAAAGCUUUACCCCUCUUUUUUAAAAAAAAUCUAAAGUUUAUGCUCCUCAUAAAAUAAGUAACUUAAAAAUUUAAGUCCUUUUAAAAGUACUCCUCCUAAAUGUAAUAAUCCCCUUUUACGCUGAUAAUCGAUUAUUUGUGUUCAAAAUCUAAAUUUUUAGGCCGAGAUAAUCGAUUAUGACCCUUUGGUAAUCUAUUAUUGACGUUAAUUUCCGAAAAACAGAGAUUUGGGCCAAAUUUUUAACCUAAGAUACAUCUAACAUUCAUAAAUUAUUUCAAAGCUCUUAAAAAAAAUACCAGGAUACCAUAGAGCUUUCUUUUCCUUUAGCAAAUUUCACCUGCAAAACAAAACAAUAGAGUUUUGGUCCCCAUAAUCUCAUUUGGGUCCUUUGAUGUUAGAGGCAUAUUACUUAAUAAUGGGAAUCCAAACAUAUUUUCCAUUAGGAAUAUCAAAAUGUUUGAUUCUACAUUUGUUAGAAGUGUGCCCGUUUUUCAUACAGUAAAAACAUGAGACAACAUUUGAGUUCCUAUAACAAACAGUUCCUUUUUCAACCCAUACCC
RNAcentral lists this long non-coding RNA (1252 nucleotides) under Vigna radiata. RNAcentral's name for it is "long non-coding RNA (VRAD_LNC017307)". Lineage: Eukaryota; Viridiplantae; Streptophyta; Magnoliopsida; Fabales; Fabaceae. The record is from RNAcentral.